Molecule: ribosomal RNA, 586 nt
Filed under: uncultured bacterium
Lineage: Bacteria
Description: bacterial SSU rRNA
Rfam family: Bacterial small subunit ribosomal RNA
Source: RNAcentral
CCUACGGGAGGCAGCAGUAGGGAAUAUUGGACAAUGGGCGCAAGCCUGAUCCAGCAAUGCCGCGUGUGUGAAGAAGGCCUGCGGGUUGUAAAGCACUUUCAGUGGGGAAGACAAACUCGAGGUUAAUACCCUCGGGUCUCGACGUUACUCACAGAAGAAGCACCGGCCAACUCCGUGCCAGCAGCCGCGGUAAUACGGAGGGUGCGAGCGUUAAUCGGAAUUACUGGGCGUAAAGCGCACGCAGGUGGCUGGGUCAGUCGGUUGUGAAAUCCCCGGGCUUAACCUGGGAAUUGCGAUCGAAACUGCCCGGCUAGAGUAUGGGAGAGGGAAGUGGAAUUCCCGGUGUAGCGGUGAAAUGCAUAGAUAUCGGGAGGAACACCAGUGGCGAAGGCGGCUUCCUGGCCCAAUACUGACACUCAGGUGCGAAAGCGUGGGGAGCAAACAGGAUUAGAUACCCUGGUAGUCCACGCCGUAAACGAUGAGUGCUAGAUGUCGGGGGGCCUAGCCCUUCGGUGUCGCAGCUAACGCAUUAAGCACUCCGCCUGGGGAGUACGGCCGCAAGGUUAAAACUCAAAGGAAUUGACGG